RNAcentral lists this ribosomal RNA (379 nucleotides) under Cylindrotheca closterium. RNAcentral's name for it is "SSU rRNA". It matches the Rfam family "Eukaryotic small subunit ribosomal RNA", at positions 622 to 1005 of the family's 1831-position model. Lineage: Eukaryota; Bacillariophyta; Bacillariophyceae; Bacillariales; Bacillariaceae. The record is from RNAcentral.
AAAAGCUCGUAGUUGGAUUUGUGGUGUACUUCGGCGGCCCGUCACUAUGUGAUGGAGCUUGCUGAAGUCGCCAUCCUUGGGUGGAUCCUGUGUGGCAUUAAGUUGUCGUGCAGGGGAUGCCCAUCGUUUACUGUGAAAAAAUUAGAGUGUUCAAAGCAGGCUUAUGCCGUUGAAUAUAUUAGCAUGGAAUAAUAAGAUAGGACCUUGGUACUAUUUUGUUGGUUUGCGCACCAAGGUAAUGAUUAAUAGGGACAGUUGGGGGUAUUCGUAUUUCAUUGUCAGAGGUGAAAUUCUUGGAUUUUUGAAAGACGAACUACUGCGAAAGCAUUUACCAAGGAUGUUUUCAUUAAUCAAGAACGAAAGUUAGGGGAUCGAAGAU